RNAcentral lists this transfer RNA (71 nucleotides) under Dactylopterus volitans (flying gurnard). RNAcentral describes it as "tRNA-Ile". It matches the Rfam family "tRNA". Rfam says of the family: Transfer RNA (tRNA) molecules are approximately 80 nucleotides in length. Lineage: Eukaryota; Metazoa; Chordata; Actinopteri; Syngnathiformes; Dactylopteridae. The record is from RNAcentral.
GGAGUUGUGCCCGAAUCUCAAGGGCCACUUUGAUAGAGUGACAUAUAGGGGUUAAAGUCCCCUCAACUCCC